RNAcentral lists this ribosomal RNA (402 nucleotides) under uncultured bacterium. RNAcentral's name for it is "bacterial SSU rRNA". It matches the Rfam family "Bacterial small subunit ribosomal RNA", at positions 29 to 426 of the family's 1533-position model. The record is from RNAcentral.
AGCGAACGUUAGCGGCGGGCUUAACACAUGCAAGUCGAGCGAGAGAGUGACUUCGGUCAUGAGUAAAGCGGCAGACGGGUGAGGAACACGUAGGUAAUUUUCCGUUUAGUGGGGGACAACGGUCCGAAAGGACCGCUAAUACCGCAUACGUUUCUUGGGACUUUGGUCUUGGGAAGGAAAGCUGGGCAACUGGCGCUAAAUGAGAAGCCUGCGUCGCAUCAGCUAGUUGGUGGGGUAAUGGCCUACCAAGGCGAAGACGCGUAGCUGGUCUGAGAGGAUGAUCAGCCACACUGGAACUGAGACACGGUCCAGACUCCUACGGGAGGCAGCAGUGGGGAAUAUUGGACAAUGGGCGCAAGCCUGAUCCAGCCACGCCGCGUGAGUGAUGAAGGCCUCGGUCGU